Molecule: unclassified non-coding RNA, 858 nt
Filed under: Hevea brasiliensis (rubber tree)
Lineage: Eukaryota; Viridiplantae; Streptophyta; Magnoliopsida; Malpighiales; Euphorbiaceae
Source: RNAcentral
AAUUUACCUAUAUAUUAUUACAAUUAAAAUUUACCUAGCUUUAUUUUAAUAACUUUUAAUAAAAUAUAUUGUAAAAAUAUACUAUUAUUAAUUUUGGAGGGAAUUAAUUUUAUAAUAUUGAUUUAAUGUAUAUCGAUUCAACUCCGAUUUAACCCAUGUUGAACUUUAAACACUUUACCCUCUGUCUUUAUUGAUUUUUAGACCAGGCCGGGUCUGAAAAUCAUGAUAUUGGCCAGAGGAAUACUUUCUUCCCUGGGAUCAGUUGCAUAGUAGCAUUUGGGAUCUUGAAUUCAUUAAGAAAAUGGAUAAACAGGUUUUGGACAUGGAAACCCCUAGCAUUUGGAUGCUGGGAGUUGACUAUCUUUAUUAUUGCUGUGUAGCAUAUGCUGUUGUUAUUGGUGUUACCCCGAAUAAGUUGAUUUUCCUGCUUUGAUUAUCCAGUUGAAUAGACUGUAAUCCAUAUGUGCUGAAACACCGUUCAUGGCAGUUAAAAAUUAUUCCAAGCAUCUUCUUUUAUUCCAUGGAACACUUGAAAAGUGAAAGUUAGGCAUCACUCGUAUGGAAGGACGAAAAAAGAAAGAAAAAAAAAAUCUGAUAAACUAUGUAAAUGUGGUAUAUUCUCACUCCUUGAAAGAGAACCUUGUGGACCAGGUAUGAUAUUGGUUGAAUUUAUGGUAUUACCGGUUUGUAGUUUGUAGAAAAGCACUCGCUUGAGUUUCUCUGUGAUUGAUUUUCUAAAAGAUGCUUGCUUGCUUGAUCAUAUGUUAAUGUCAUGAUGUGGACGAAUACUGUUGUUUUCAUGCAAGUUACACAAGGCUGUCCUUUUUUGUCAUCAGGUCUGGGAUCUUGGCGGACAAG